Long non-coding RNA from Eriocheir sinensis (Chinese mitten crab), 2793 nucleotides. RefSeq lists it as uncharacterized. The transcript has 2 exons. The record is from RefSeq and is a predicted model, not a curated record. Lineage: Eukaryota; Metazoa; Arthropoda; Malacostraca; Decapoda; Varunidae.
UAUAGGUUAGAGACCUAAAAUGCGGCCCAUUAUCAUUAUUUUCAUACUAAUUAAUUAAAAGAAAGACGCUCUAAUAAUAAUUACCAAGACGCACCCAAUCUUAAACAAUAUAACUUCCAAGACCAAGACCAACCGUGGCAGGACGCACCCAACCCAGCACUGCCCCCCAAGCUUUGCCCCCGCCCCGAGUGACAGCUCUCGCCCCCCGCCCAUCACUGUUUGUCUCGCUGUAAAAAGGCUCUGGGAUGUAGACGCGCCUGUAAAUGGCCUGCCUCUGCUCCCUGUAAUCUUCCCCAGGCUGGCACGCGGGUAUUUACGAAGGUGUCAAGGCAGGGGCCGCAGACUGCACUGUCAGAGCCACCAGUGGUGCUGAUGCCGGUGCUGAAGCAAGUGGCUGAGGUGGGGAGCUUUGUGGCAAAGAGACAGCAUACUACUAUUUGUAUUCCAAUGGCUACCACUGUUAAUGGUGCUGGAGUGAGAGUUUGAGGCAGGUGCUGUGCUCAAUGCUUGCUUCAUCCUUGAUGCCUUUGACUGCAGGACUCCUUGGUGCUUCCUUGACUUUGCCUGCUUGCUCAGUCUCAGAGUGUGGCAUCAGGGGGGAACCAUGCCACCCACCCCAGCUUCCCCGGGGUUCCUGCCAGACCAGCCACCUUCUCAUAUCAAGAAUAAUGUUUCACUGGAGACAGAAAGGUUGGGCUGCAGCCUAAGUGGCCAGGACCAAGGAGCAGAAGCAGACUGUCACUGAUGAGAGAAUUUCGGAUGAUCAAAUCAACCACCACCAGCCCCUUGUUGCUGUUAUCUUCAGCUAGAAAGCAACGGCCCUGCGUAGUGCUGCGCUGGCAGCAUUGCAGGGCCUGAAACCUCAUCAGUGGUAAACGGUAAACAUUGGUGAAAGAAAUAAUGAGUAGCAUGAGUGUGGAAGAAGACUCACUGAAAAGAGUGACUCCAACAGACACACCCACUUAUUCUGGUGAAAAAAAUCAUGAAUGCCUUGAGUGUGGGAAAAAGUUUAGUAAGAAGAGUCGCCUCAACAGGCACAACCUUAUACACACUGGUGAAAAAAAACAUGAAUGUGAAGUUUGUGGAAAACGAUUUGCUCAGAAAAAUCAUCUCAAGACACACAACCUUAAACACACUGGUGUAAGAAAUUUUGAAUGUGAAAUUUGUGGAAAAAGAUUUAGGCUCAGGGGUAACCUCAACACACAUAGCGUUACACACACAGAUGAAAGAAAUUAUGAAUGUGAACUUUGUGGGAAGAGAUUCAAGCUCAAUGGUGACCUUACUAAGCACUAUCACUGGCAUACUGGCGAAAAAAAUCAUGAAUGUGAAAUUUGUGGAAGAAAAUUUCGUGAGAGGUGUAACCUCAACAAACAUCUAGUUACACACACUGGUGAAAAAAAUUAUGAAUGUGACAUUUGUGGGAAAAGUUUUACUCAGAAGGGUACCCUCAAAAGACACUCAUUUUUACACACCCGUGAGAGGAAUUAUGAAUGUAACAUCUGUGGAAAAGGAUUUGUUGAUAAAACUACUUUCAAUACACACACACGCAUUCACACUUUUGAGAAAAAUUAUGAAUGCGAAGAGUGUGGGAAAAGAUUUGGCUUGCAAUCUGCGUUGAAUAGGCACGUCUUCAGGCACUCUGGCCUGAGAGAGUUUAAAUGUGAUGUUUGUGGAAAGUAUUUCAAAACAAAACAAGAUAUUGCCCAACACAUGAAGAUCCACUUCUGAGAUGUUGUGUGGUGGGUGAUGGUGGAGAUGGUGGAGGAUAGUGUCUUCCUUAAAGAAUACCAGAUUAAAUAAACAUUUAUUGGAGGAAAUUAAUAGUCAUAGCGUGACACCAUGAUAAACGUAUCACACUUUUCAACUCAGGCUGCAUGUGAUUGGUGAAACUGUUGAAAUUAACUUGGCCAGAGUCUCUUUCCUGUCCUCAUCAAGUGUAUAUAAAACACCCAGAGAUUAAGGAACAAAUUUACUGAAAUUCCAAAAUUUUAAUUAUGCUGUAUUUGUAGAUCAAUCUAUUUUAAUUGAUAAUAUCAAGCAAGGGUAAAUAAUUUCUUUGUCACAGGAUGAGAAGAAACUGAUUUUAAACUGUUAUACUCAAAGCUUUACCCAAAAUUGUAGAUCAUUGAUAGAUUCUAAGAUGUUCCAUCAAGUUAGCAAUGUUACUGUAACACCAACUGAAUGAAAUUUAUUUCAGCUUUGUAGCAUUUAGUCCUGCAAUUAUGAAAUAUCCAUUCCAACCCAUAACUUCCAGCCAGUAUUCACUGUCACAAUCAUGAUUGUAAGAGCUUUUCUUGCUACUGGGAAAGUACCAUCGAAAAUUUCGAUGCCAAAGUCAAUUUAAUCAUGUUAAGCCGCUGUAUUGUACUGCUUCUGGGAAGUUUACGUAUGAUUUGUUAUUAUCUACGUACGUAAUGUACUUGAUUCUAGACAUGUCUACCAUGUUUGCAGAUGGAAUGCACAUGAACCUUCUUGAGAGAAAAUGGAUGUAUAAAAGGGCAUACUCAUGAAGCAUCAAUUAGUUGGGAAACUUGGGGGCAAACACUAAGUUUGCCCUCAGUGCUCAUCUGUCACAUUGGCCCUUGAACCUGUGAUGGAUAAGAACCCAUUACCACAAGACACAGAGUCAGUGUGACAUCUGGAGUACUCUAGAAUCCUUGUUCAGACCUAGGCACUCAUCAGGUAGCAGGCAGUCAGUGAGGCGAAACACAUGAAUUGGGAAAGGCAACAACACUGACACAUUUCCAGUUGUGACUGUUGUACUGCUUCAGAAAUAAAGACCACCGUUCAUCA